This 253-nucleotide unclassified non-coding RNA is filed under the name plant metagenome. RNAcentral describes it as "partial contains small subunit ribosomal RNA, internal transcribed spacer 1, and 5.8S ribosomal RNA". The stretch from base 1 to 55 matches the Rfam family "Eukaryotic small subunit ribosomal RNA", at positions 1777 to 1831 of the family's 1831-position model. The record is from RNAcentral.
GGAAAGUAAAAGUCGUAACAAGGUCUCCGUAGGUGAACCUGCGGAGGGAUCAUUACAGAGUUCUCGCCCUUCCGGGUAGAUCUCCCACCCACUGUUAUUGUUACCGUCGUUUCUUUGGCGGGCCGCCGGGCCCUGCUCGGCCGCCGGCCCCGGCUGGCGCGUGCCCGCCAGAGGCCCUUCAAACUCUGAAUGUUAGUGUCGUCUGAGUACUAUACAAUAGUUAAAACUUUCAACAACGGAUCUCUUGGUUCUG